GGCGAGAUGAUUUAACAAUGAACAGGAUAAAUUAGUAUACAAUGCCAACCCUUAUCUUUGAUAAGUGGCAUACAUAAUUCAAUAACAUAGACUGAAAUGAAUUGUUGACUGCCUCAAAUUGUAGGUUGUUUUGCAGGAGCAUGUGAAGAAAAGUGGUCUUUCAAAGAGGAUUGCGCUGGUUAGUUCUUCCCCUUUACUGAGAUGAUAUAUAGGAGUUUCUCAUUCACUUGCUUGCUGGUGCUGCAUAAAUUAGUAGGGUGUCUAUCCCUCCAAUAACUGAGUGUGUCAAUCCUGCUGGAGCUAUCCAUCACGCCAGUGCUUAAAGACCUCUUCUAUCUGCCAGCGUACUAAUGUAGUACUAUGGAGGCUGAGAUGGUUCCUCAAGCAAGCAGGAUGAUUACCCUAGAUUUCUAAAGCCAGAUGAAGCGGAGAUCGCCCCAUUUGAUU
Long non-coding RNA from Panicum virgatum (switchgrass), 447 nucleotides. RefSeq lists it as uncharacterized. The transcript has 3 exons. The record is from RefSeq and is a predicted model, not a curated record. NCBI's taxonomy places the organism in Eukaryota, Viridiplantae, Streptophyta, Magnoliopsida, Poales, Poaceae.